This 253-nucleotide ribosomal RNA is filed under the name uncultured bacterium. RNAcentral describes it as "partial 16S ribosomal RNA". It matches the Rfam family "Bacterial small subunit ribosomal RNA", at positions 524 to 776 of the family's 1533-position model. The record is from RNAcentral.
GACAAAGGUGCCAAGCGUUAGGCGGAAUCACUGGGCUUAAAGCGUGUGUAGGCGGAUCGUUAAGUAUCUUGUGAAAUCCCACGGCUUAACCGUGGAACUGCUCGGUAUACUGGCGGUCUUGAGCAACCUAGGGGCGAGCGGAACAAAUGGUGGAGCGGUGAAAUGCGUAGAUAUCAUUUGGAACGCCAAUGGUGAAAACAGCUCGCUGGGGGUUUGCUGACGCUGAGACACGAAAGCCAGGGGAGCAAACGGG